GAUGAACGCUGGCGGCGUGCCUAACACAUGUAAGUCGAACGUGAGGGUGUGAGCAAUCGCACCUGAAAGUGGCGAACGGGUGAGUAACACGUGGACAACCUGCCCUGGAGUGGGGGAUAACCACUGGAAACGGUGGCUAAUACCGCAUACGACGCGUAGGAGGGGACUUCUGUGCGUGAAAGGUUAACUGCUCUGGGAGGGGUCUGCGGUCGAUUAGCUAGUUGGUGGGGUAACGGCCCACCAAGGCGAUGAUCGAUAGCUGGUCUGAGAGGAUGAUCAGCCACACGGGAACUGAGACACGGUCCCGACUCCUACGGGGGGCAGCAGUGAGGAAUAUUGCACAAUGGGGGAAACCCUGAUGCAGCAACGCCGCGUGGAGGAUGAAGGUCUUUGGAUUGUAAACUCCUUUUCUGUGGGACGAGAGAGGACGGUACCACAGGAAUAAGUCACGGCUAACUACGUG
This 463-nucleotide ribosomal RNA is filed under the name uncultured organism. RNAcentral's name for it is "bacterial SSU rRNA". It matches the Rfam family "Bacterial small subunit ribosomal RNA", at positions 28 to 507 of the family's 1533-position model. The record is from RNAcentral.